This 101-nucleotide small RNA is filed under the name Chryseobacterium takakiae. RNAcentral's name for it is "Flavo-1 RNA". It matches the Rfam family "Flavo-1 RNA". Lineage: Bacteria; Pseudomonadati; Bacteroidota; Flavobacteriia; Flavobacteriales; Weeksellaceae. The record is from RNAcentral.
UCCUAGCCCCGAUUGCAGAGAAAAUCCUUUUUGCAGGCUCCGUCAGGCUCAGCCUGACCGCGGUGGCAGCAAAAAGAUUGUAACGGAAAGCGGGAAAAAGC